This 1237-nucleotide long non-coding RNA is filed under the name Homo sapiens (human). RNAcentral describes it as "HSALNT0341771". Lineage: Eukaryota; Metazoa; Chordata; Mammalia; Primates; Hominidae. The record is from RNAcentral.
CAAGCCAUGAGGUUGGAGUUGGGUUUUACAACUUCCUUCUUCCAGUAUCUAGUUCUUGCCCCUUGUCUCUCAGCUGGCAUUUCUGGUCUGGUUGCAGUUCUUUACCUGGUUGGGUGACUAAAUAUUAUUCCUAAAGUGUUCCCAGUAGUAUUAGCAGCAGCAGUAGCAACAGCAGCAAUAGGCAUUAGUAGUAAUGGCUAAGAGUGCGUAAAAGCAACCCUAGCAACCCUAUUUUCCCCUAAUAAUCAGAAUCAAUCAUCUCAGACCUUUAACUCUUCCCUUGUCCAUUGAGUCAGUGGUAUAAGGAGCUCAAGGUGGUUCCAUGGAAUUCUCAGUUUCCAGUUGAAUAGAACCAUUUUUGUGUGUGUGUGUGUGAGAAUUAAACUCAAUAAUCCAGCAGAGUUCAAAGUUACAGAAAGAGAAAACAAAAUUUUUACUGGGUGCAUUGUUGAGGUAACAGGGCAGGGAAUAUUCCCACUCCAGCCCCUUCGUUCUCAAAGCCAUGUGUCCUGACUAUUGUAGAAACAGCAUCAUGUAUUUAUUAGUCAUUAUUGCUAUCAAUUGCUAUUGGAAUAUAUUGUACAUCUUGUCAGAAGAUACCUUGGACUUGCAAGCUUUUAUGUGUAUGUGUUGGCUCUUCUUGUCCUCCCAGCAGGUGACGUACUGUUUCUUCAAUAGACCAUCGGGCUAUUUCAUUAAGACAGCAUCUUCAGACAAUGUGGUACAUGGUAGCACCAAUUUAAAUCAACAGACUGAAUAAACUACGAGAACCACUCCCACCUGCUUGAGGUCACAGUCACACCAGAAUCUCCGGUAAAGAUCUGGAAGCAAUGAGUGGUAGUAGGUAUUGAAUAAAAUUGUCAUUGCCUUACAAGAGGACACAUCAUUGAGGUCAUUUAGAAUCUUCAGGUGAAGGAAGACUGAUGUUCUCAAACAGAAAAGAUGGGCUGUUUCUGAUGGAAAUUAAGGAUCAAUGAGGAGACUGUUUUCCAUGGGUCUCUCACAUUUCUGGACAUCUUGCAAAUGAAGGCACUCACUGACUUUAUUUCAAAUUAUCUUUUGAAGGAUGUUUAUAUAGCAAAUGACAGAGAAAAUGUCUCUCUCUAGGGUGAAGACCAGAUAGAAUUACUGCUCAUUUUAAAAGAUUCAGGUACCCUAUGUUUAGAAUUCCUCUCUUGUACCCCACCCCAUUAUGUGUGCAGGUAUUACCCAGACUUCUUUGUAUUAUCCUGUAGAU